UGGGGAAUUUUGGACAAUGGGCGAAAGCCUGAUCCAGCAAUGCCGCGUGUGUGAAGAAGGCCUUCGGGUUGUAAAGCACUUUUGUCCGGAAAGAAAUCCUUGGGCUCUAAUACAGUCGGGGGAUGACGGUACCGGAAGAAUAAGCACCGGCUAACUACGUGCCAGCAGCCGCGGUAAUACGUAGGGUGCAAGCGUUAAUCGGAAUUACUGGGCGUAAAGCGUGCGCAGGCGGUUUGCUAAGACCGAUGUGAAAUCCCCGGGCUCAACCUGGGAACUGCAUUGGUGACUGGCAGGCUAGAGUAUGGCAGAGGGGGGUAGAAUUCCACGUGUAGCAGUGAAAUGCGUAGAGAUGUGGAGGAAUACCGAUGGCGAAGGCAGCCCCCUGGGCCAAUACUGACGCUCAUGCACGAAAGCGUGGGGGAGCAAACAGGAUUAGAUACCCUGGUAGUCCACGCCCUAAACGAUGUCAACUAGUUGUUGGGGAUUCAUUUCCUUAGUAACGUAGCUAACGCGUGAAGUUGACCGCCU
This 528-nucleotide ribosomal RNA is filed under the name uncultured bacterium. Its description in RNAcentral is "partial 16S ribosomal RNA". It matches the Rfam family "Bacterial small subunit ribosomal RNA", at positions 355 to 874 of the family's 1533-position model. The record is from RNAcentral.